RNAcentral lists this long non-coding RNA (731 nucleotides) under Capsella rubella. RNAcentral's name for it is "long non-coding RNA (CRUB_LNC001962)". The stretch from base 20 to 136 matches the Rfam family "MIR398 microRNA precursor family". The record is from RNAcentral. Lineage: Eukaryota; Viridiplantae; Streptophyta; Magnoliopsida; Brassicales; Brassicaceae.
GAAGAUAUUAUGAAGGUGGUGGAUCUCGACAGGGUUGAUAUGAGAACACAUUUGCAAUCAACGGCUGUAAUGACGAUCAUGUAAUUGUUACAUCUCUCGUUUUCAUGUGUUCUCAGGUCACCCCUGCUGAGCUCUUUCUCUACCGUUUUCAAGUAAUAACGCCGUGGCUUUAUUCAUAUACCCAAUGGUAAGUUUCUAUGUAAUUUCGAAACCUGUAGUAUUAUUACAAAUGAAAUAACAAAUAAAAACAUUGUAAUUCUUAGUAAACUUACGUACCUACGUGUGAUAUAUGCUAUGACUAUGAAUGGGGAACGAGCUAUUUAAUUGUCUUGCUCUUGCUCUUUGUCCUUUAACAAGAUCGACUGCCAAAGAAACAGAGGAAGCAAGAAACCCACAAUGAGCUCAUUAAUAUGUUUGUGAUGUUAAUUUCUUAGUUUAACCGAUGACUGAGAAGAAAGGUUUACUUCGCGGAGGAGUCGGAGAGCGGCAGGACGAGUGAACUUCCUGGCGAAGAGGAAGCACCGCGACGGUUUCCCUUUACUGCUACACCAUUCUCGCCGAUAUUCAGUCUCGUAGUUGAUAUUGUCAAUUCCCUGUGAAUCAAUGUGUUUUGUUAGUGAUUCUACUUCUGUUUUAAGUAUGUAACAGGGUUAAAGCCACAGCAAGAAAAAAGAAGAUUCAUAUAUUGUAAUGGAGAGUUUUAGUUCUACAAAAUAAAAUGUUGUUCUUAA